CAACUACUCCCAAUGUCCCAAAUUUCUUGUCUUAGAUUUGUCUAGAUACGGAUGUAUCUAAUACUAAAAUGUGACUUGAUACAUCCUUAUCUAGACAAAUCUAAGACAAGAAUUUUGGGACGGAGGGAGUACUUU
Molecule: non-coding RNA, 135 nt
Organism: Triticum aestivum (bread wheat)
Lineage: Eukaryota; Viridiplantae; Streptophyta; Magnoliopsida; Poales; Poaceae
Source: Rfam